Molecule: ribosomal RNA, 2990 nt
Filed under: Triticum aestivum (bread wheat)
Lineage: Eukaryota; Viridiplantae; Streptophyta; Magnoliopsida; Poales; Poaceae
Description: partial small subunit ribosomal RNA
Source: RNAcentral
UGCUCUCAUUCGUCCCCCUCGUCUCCUUCUCCUAUCCCAAACCUAGCCGUCGCAUCGCCCCGUCCCGCUCCUCCCGUGGUCGCUCGCCGCCGCCCGCACUGGCGCCCCGACCUUUCCUCUCUUCAUCGCGCCGCCACCUUCCCUUCUCCUCCGGCCUCGCCUUUUCCUCCCUUCUCCUCCGGUGCCUCCUCCCAAGGGAAGUGAAGGGAAGGAUCGAGCGACAAGGUGAGGCCUAAAUCCACAUCGGCAUCAGCGCUUCGUCGUCGACUUCAUCCCCGACCGUCCUCGAGAGGUAGGCCAUGGAGGUCCGGUCCGGCCCGGCAGCAGCCAUGGAUGGAGACGCCCGGAACCCUAGCCCUCCAAGGACGUGCGCCGGCUGCAGGCCAUCUCCGGCGAGGGCAUCUCCGGCGAGCUCAUCCACGGGUCUCCGACUAUGCUGCUCCGAUCUGGAAGAGGGGGUGGAGCUGCUGCUGCUGCAGGUGGACGAGACACGAGCUCUCAUGGCUGCUCCCUCCUCCUACCCCCUGACGUGGUUGCUCUGAUGAGGACAAGCUGCUUCUGCAGGUGGACGGGCCCUCAUGGUCGCCGCACUCUCUCAUCGGGAGUAGGCAGGAGAAGUGUCGGCCGCUGAAGCAGACGAGCCGAGCCAUUAGUGGCUGCAUCUUUGACGUCCUUUCCUAGCGUGCUCGCCAGCGUACGCUGUCCACCGGCAGUAGCAAGGAUCUGGUUAUAUGGUGCAGGAUCCAGGCCACUCAAACUCAAAGCAUACUAACAACCAGGCCUGGAGAUAUAGUUUGCACAAUGUUUUGUUCUGUCAUAUGCCAUUUUGAUAUGGCUAAAAUGUUUGCUUUUGAUAUGUGUCAGAAUUAUGUUGCCCCACCAGCCUGAAAAUGUGAUAAAUAAAAGCCUACAGUGCUCAUUUAUUUGUAUUUACAGGCUUUGUUGUGCAUAUGAUUUACUCUUUGUUCCAUAAGAUCAUAUUUUGGUAGUGGUGCAAGCUGAACCUUGAUGUUGUUGCUGCUGUAUUCUGUAAUGGAACUGUUAGAUAAGGUAGUUAACUAUCUCUAGCCAUAGGUCUUAUAGUGGUGCAGAUUCAUUUUCUCUGCUAGGAGUUUACUUAAUUACAGAACAUUCCUGAAUAGUUACACUAAGCUAGCCAUGUUCCCAGUAAGCUCAGAAAUUUCCUGGCAUACACUUGACACCAGUUAUCUCUCAUAUUUCCCUGAUUUCCAUAGCUGUGUUGUAUCCCUUACAUGUUGUUUUAGUCGGUCUUUGCGAUUGGUUCAGUUAGAGGCUUAUUUAGUUGUGAUUUAGUCAUUGGCUAUGGUCAUUGGUAUGAUAGAAGCAUUACACAGUGCAUCAAUGAUAAAGCUACUGUUCUCUCAAACUGGUAAUAUUGUUCUAUUUUCUUGGAUGAUGUAAAGUUAACUGAUGGCCAUGCCAGCAUCAACUUUGUUUAUAGUAGGUUCAUAUGCAUGUAUAUUGAUGUAUUUCCUUUCUAACGAUUUUUUAGUGAUGCUUACUGCAUUAUUACAUAGCUGAAUGUCACUUUCUGACUUCAUUUAUUCAAGGUGGAUGCUUCUUUUGUAUUGUUAUUAUCAUGAUCCGUGUCUGAAUAAAUGCAUGUGUUGUAACUGAAUGUUCUUUUGCAUUUAUAAAACAAUAUGUUGUUCUAUUUUCCAUUAGAUGCUGUAGAAUUGCCUGAUUUGCUGCCACCAAUGAAAGGACAUUGUGACCUCUAACACAGGUGGCUUGAUGAUGCACAUCUAUGAAUAUUAUGAUGAUAAGAAACAAUCGUCCAUAUGCUUAUAAAACAAUAUAUGUUGUUCUUUUUUUAUGGUGUUCCCUGUAAGUCUAUGCUAAUUAGAACAUGUUUCUCUGUUGAUUUUCAUGUACCACCAAUAAUAUCCACAUUAUGGAAGGAGCAAGGAUCAUCACAUUAUGGUGCCAUUGUUAAAGCCUGUUGCUUCCUUGGACCUGCAUUGUUGCAGGCUUCUCCUGCAUUAUAUUGUUUAUUUGAUUUUCCGCUCUUUGGUAAGUCUCUGAGCAUGGAUGCUGUAUAUGUGACACUGGAACUUCUGUUCUAAUCGGUAUCAGGCAAUAUUUUGUCAAUGAAGAUGACACCGUACCACAAAAGGUUGUUGUUCGAAAGAAUAGCCGCCGGGGGGUUCACUUCGGUCGUGCUGGACCCCGUCAGAGGGUCAAUUUUGAGUCAGAUGAAGUGAAAGCAUGCAUUAUAAGUUGUGGAGGCCUUUGCCUUGGGCUCAACACUGUUAUCAGGGAGCUGGUGUAUGGCUUGGCGCACAUGUACAAUGUCAACAACAUCUAUGGAAUACUGGUUAAUUAAUCCUACAUUUCAGUAUCAACCAGCAUCUGUUCCUUCUUGAGCUCUCAACCCUGGGGUACACCUCCCGGUCAAGGUGCACCUCUUGUCUCACCGAUGAUGCAGCCUGGGCAUCACUCGCUCUCAGCUAGCUAGACUACCUAUAAGAAUCGUCAGCGCCUUUACCUAUCAGAGCAGGUACUAAUCUUGGUGUGAGCUCAAGGCAAUAGGCAAUUCUGAAGGUAGGCAAUCGUCAUUAGCCAGGUAAUGCCAGGGCUGGCUGCCAUGUGUACCAUGGUGAGAAGUAGCACCAGUAGUGCCAUAUUGGCUCCCUCUACCGAGCAGCGUGGAGGAGGGUUGGGAGUGAUCGCACUUCAACUUCUGUACGCUGCAUUUUCUUUUGGAUGUGUCAUGUCAUCAUUUCUACUGGUCUAUGUUAUGCCAAAGACUUAAGUUCUCUAUGCAGAGUUGCAAAUUGUCUGUAAGCUACUACGUGUUGUCGUAUCUUCUAUGCAUAAGAUAUUUUGUGCUAAACCUGUCGUGAAACAUGCUUUCAAUGUUCAUGCAUUGUUAAGAGGCUUCUUAUUGUGUGCAUAGAAAUGUUGGACCGGCACCCUUGCGCCAAGGCGCGAUCCCGAUCUAGUUGCCAUGAUGGACUGGGCUAAAC